UGGCUCAGAAUCACGCUGGCGGCGUGCUAACACAUGCAGUCGAACGAGAAGUACCUUCGGGGUGGAGUAAGUGGCAACGGGUGAGUACGCGUGGGAUAUCUACCCUGAUGAGAGGAAUAACUCUCCGAAAGGAGAGCUAAUACCGCAUAAUCCGGAAACGGGAAAGGCCUUAUGGUCGCAUCUGGAGGAGCCCGCGUCCGAUUAGCUGGUUGGUGAGGUAAUUGGCUCACCAAUGCGACGAUCGGUAGCCGGUCUGAGAGGACGGACGGUCACACUGGGACUGAGACACGGCCCAGACUCCUACGGGAGGCAGCAGUGGGGAAUUUUGGGCAAUGGGGGAAACCCUGACCCAGCAACGCCGCGUGGAGGAAGAAGGUUUUCGAAUCGUAAACUCCUGUCCCACGAGAAGAAGCAAGUGACGGUAUCGUGGGAGGAAGCCCCGGCUAACUCCGUGCCAGCAGCCGCGGUAAUACGGGGGGGGCGAGCGUUGUUCGGAAUUACUGGGCGUAAAGGGCGCGUAGGCGGUUUCGGAAGUCAAGGGUGAAAGCCCCGAGCUCAACUCGGGAAUUGCCUUUGAAACCACGGAACUAGAGUGCUGGAGAGGAAAGCGGAAUUUCCAGUGUAGCGGUGAAAUGCGUAGAUAUUGGAAGGAACAUCUGAGGCGAAGGCGGCUUUCUGGACAGACACUGACGCUGAGGCGCGAAAGCCAGGGGAGCGAACGGGAUUAGAUACCCCGGUAGUCCUGGCUGUAAACGAUGAACACUUGGUGUGGGGGGUAUAAAGUCCCUCCGUGCCGAAGAUAACUCGAUAAGUGUUCCGCCUGGGGAGUACGGCCGCAAGGCUGAAACUCAAAGGAAUUGACGGGGGCCCGCACAAGCGGUGGAGCAUGUGGUUUAAUUCGACGCAACGCGAAGAACCUUACCGGGGUUUGAACUGUACCGGCGACAUCCAGAGAUGGAUGGUUUCCUUCGGGAACUGGUAUAGAGGUGCUGCAUGGCUGUCGUCAGCUCGUGUCGUGAGAUGUUGGGUUAAGUCCCGCAACGAGCGCAACCCUUGUCUGUAGUUGCCAUCAGGUUAAGCUGGGCACUCUACGGAGACUGUCGGCGAUAAGCCGGAGGAAGGUGGGGAUGACGUCAAGUCCUCAUGGCCUUUAUGUCCCGGGCUACACACGUGCUACAAUGGAUGGAACAGAGGGCAGCAAGCCUGCGAAGGCAAGCGAAUCCCAAAAAUCCAUUCUCAGUUCGGAUUGCAGUCUGCAACUCGACUGCAUGAAGUUGGAUCGCUAGAAUCGCGGAUCAGAUGCCGCGGGAAUACGUUCCCGGGCCUUGUACACACCGCCCGUCACGUCACGAAAGUGGGCUGUACUAGAAGCCG
This 1374-nucleotide ribosomal RNA is filed under the name uncultured organism. Its description in RNAcentral is "bacterial SSU rRNA". It matches the Rfam family "Bacterial small subunit ribosomal RNA". The record is from RNAcentral.